GGGCCUGUGGCUCAAAAGGGUAGGGCGCCAGCCCCAUAUGCCGGAGGUGGCAGGCUCUAACCCAGCCCCGGCCCA
Otolemur garnettii (small-eared galago) is the source of this 75-nucleotide non-coding RNA. The record is from Rfam. Lineage: Eukaryota; Metazoa; Chordata; Mammalia; Primates; Galagidae.